This 29-nucleotide non-coding RNA is filed under the name Homo sapiens (human). Lineage: Eukaryota; Metazoa; Chordata; Mammalia; Primates; Hominidae. The record is from RNAcentral.
UCAGAAUGGAACUGUAUUUGGACAUGUGG